This 69-nucleotide transfer RNA is filed under the name Bos taurus (domestic cattle). It matches the Rfam family "tRNA". From Rfam's summary of the family: Transfer RNA (tRNA) molecules are approximately 80 nucleotides in length. Their secondary structure includes four short double-helical elements and three loops (D, anti-codon, and T loops). Lineage: Eukaryota; Metazoa; Chordata; Mammalia; Artiodactyla; Bovidae. The record is from Rfam by way of RNAcentral. RNAcentral also lists the same sequence under 4 other names.
CCUGGUAGCUCAGAGGGUAAAGCAUCUGCCUGCAAUGCGGGAGACCCAGGUUCAAUCCCUGGGUCAGGA